Long non-coding RNA from Pezoporus flaviventris, 2065 nucleotides. RefSeq lists it as uncharacterized. The transcript is spliced from 3 exons. NCBI's taxonomy places the organism in Eukaryota, Metazoa, Chordata, Aves, Psittaciformes, Psittacidae. The record is from RefSeq and is a predicted model, not a curated record.
GGUCGUUUGUGAAGGAAAAGGAGGUUAUUUCCCAGGCUGGAGGAGGUGGUGGAGUUUAGGGCUCUUGUGAGAGAAUAAGGAGGUGGCCUUGAAGCUGAAUGCUUUUGCAUCUUGAUUUCUCCAUUGGUGUUGGUCUACUUGAGCAGGUGGGACAUUACAGCAACGUCAGCCGCAUCCAAGGUACACAUGGAAUACCAUGAGGAAUGCUGUGCCAGCAUGUGGGAUCCAGCCCCAGAAAACAGCUGGAGGAGCCACAUAACCCCUUUGAAUCUCUCUUCACCCUUGACUGAGGUGGGAAGGGAGAAGAUGAUGAUGUUGUUAAAUGCCAGUGAUAAGGACAGUUUGGCUUUUGUAUGGUUAGAAGAGAUGGAGGAGGCAGAAACAUUCCUGGUUAUAUCAGGCAGCUGUGGAUGGUGAUGGGUCAUUUCACUCCAUUAUGGUUUCUGGCAAGGGAAUAUUAAAAGGGGUGUGAGGGCAUAGUUUCUCAGCAAUGACUUCAUUUGGCUGUCUAAGCAAACAGCCCCUCCUCACCAGGUGCAAAAGGCCUUGUAUUUGUGUUUUUUUCUUUCAUGAAGUGCAAAGAAAUACCUAAAGUGAAAAUAGCACCAGUGGAUUGUAUCUGCUCAACAGCCCUGGUGGUCUCUACCUCCUGUUAAACAGCAGUGAUAUGAGCCAAGGCAGGGAAAAGUGAUGAGCCUAGGUAUUUUAUACUUAAACUGUAUUUUUUUUCUCCACUUUUAGCUGCAUCAUCUGUCACAGAGAGAAGCAGAGCGACAAAGAGAAAGGGUCAGUAAAUUUUAAGCUGGUCUAGUCAGACUGGAGAAGAAAGAUCAGCAAAACCGAGAGAAAGUAAAUGGGACGAUGUUACCCAGCCUGCCUUCACCAUCACACUGUGCUGCCUUGGAUGCUUCCUGCCUUGGCAAUGCCCUCAAGAGACGUGGCAAUUUGUAGCCAUGAAACUACCAGUUUGGCUAAGGUCCCCUAGGAGCAGAGCCCCAGUAUGGGCGUCCUACACAUGAGCAUGGGCUGGGUGUAGUGUGCAAUACCUCUCUGCUUUCCUGGCUGCUAGGGAGGCAGCUUCACCCUGCAGAUGGGGGUUAGAGCCCAUCAGACUCGCUUUCUUCAGUAACCUGAGCCAGGAUUUGAGCCGAGGCCUCCAAAGGUGAAAGGCUAAUAUGCCUGCCUCCCUCUCUGCCACUGAGCCCCUUCUGCUUUGUUGAGGCGAUGUGCUAACUUGGGGAAAUCACUCCUGCGACCCAUAAAUACUGAACUGAAUGAGAGCCCCCCGCUCUGUGCGCAGGGAUAAUGCGCCGGCUGCAGGGGUGUUUGCUCUGUGACGUUCAGCAAACAGGCUGCAAAGAAAGCUCAGCAAGAUCCUGGACAAAAGGAGAGGACAAUCAGCUUGCUGGGUUCAAUUAUGGUCUGGAAUUUAAUCCCAGUAGGUUUGGUAGGACUUCCCCCCGGGCAAAAUCCAUCUCACCAGUCGGUUUCUCUGAGGUCUUGGGACAGCAUGCGGAGGUAUUAGGCUCAUAAAAGGUUUCUUAUUCACAGAAAGCCCUGUAGAUACCACAGGAGCUUGUACAGAUUACUUCUGGGUGAGGCCAUAAUGUUGGAAGUGAAAGGGGUUGGGAUGCUCUUGCAUCCCUGGGAAAUCCAAGCUGCAAAGAAGAGAGGGGUGGUUAAAGCCCAUAAAUAGUUCUCAGCUAAUGAAAUUGCUGGGUGGGGAAAAGGGCAAAAUAGCUCCUUUUUAAAGCAGAUGAGGCAAACAUGCCUCCCAACAUAUUUUGUGCUCAUAAAACUCAGUCUCGGUUUCUAGGUAACUAAAAGAGAUACCCCAGAGAGAAGCUUCUAAGGGUUUUCCACAGCUGCUGGAUUUGAAUAACCAAAGGGAAGAGCUGGAUAUCAACUUUAUCUGGUGCAGAGCGUGGCUAACCCCAUCCCACCUCUUUUGAGGCUCACUUGUGUACAAAGCAAACCUGAAAGUCUGGGGGCCCUUUACAUUGGGAGAUCCACUGUUGGGAUCCAACAUGCACCAAGCUCAAGACUAAAAGACUUAUUAUAUGAU